GGGCUUGUGGAGUAGUCUGGAUAUCUCACUUGAGAAAACCAGGAGAACGUUGGUUCGAAGCCAACCAAGCCCA
RNAcentral lists this transfer RNA (73 nucleotides) under archaeon. RNAcentral's name for it is "tRNA-Phe". It matches the Rfam family "tRNA". From Rfam's summary of the family: Transfer RNA (tRNA) molecules are approximately 80 nucleotides in length. Their secondary structure includes four short double-helical elements and three loops (D, anti-codon, and T loops). The record is from RNAcentral.